GGCGAGAUGGCCGAGCGGUCUAAGGCGCCAGACUAAGGCGACACAGUGCGCUAUCUGGUCCGAAAGGGCGUGGGUUCGAAUCCCACUCUCGUCA
This is a non-coding RNA of Trametes maxima, 94 nucleotides long. Lineage: Eukaryota; Fungi; Basidiomycota; Agaricomycetes; Polyporales; Polyporaceae. The record is from the annotation of a GenBank genome assembly.